UUCCUUGGGUACUGAAGCUCGCGAGAGGAUCCUGGGGGCAGGCGCGUCGCGGUGGCAGUGUUUCUUGGGUGUGCGGGGCCGGGCGCCCCGUAGCCUCUGGUCUGCAUGGGGAUUACAGGUGUUUGGCAAGUGGCAUGGCAGAACAGAGAAUCUAGAUUCAGGACCUGGACUUGGAUAUAAGCUGUCACUUGUUACUUGGCCUUGCACUAAAUGACCAUUCUCAGGCUCAUAGGUGGAAGGGACUUACCCUGUCUCAGAUGAGACUUUGGACUGUGAACUUUUGAGUUAAUGCUGAAAUGAGACAAGUUCAGCAACCCUAAAGGCAAACUGGCCUAGGGCCUGGGAAGUGGAGAAUGCCUAUUCCUAGGCUAACCCAAGCAUUAGAGAAGCAUCAGGCCGCCAUUCUAGACUCAACUGCUCACCUCCUCUGAUCCACUGAGGUGUCUCUGGAAAUCCUCCACCACAGCCACAGCCUCCUCACCACUCUCAGGGUGAUGCAGCUGCACCCAGGUCCGGAGCUCCCCAGGGAGGAUGCUCAGGAACUGCUCAAGCACCAGCAGCUCCAGGAUCUGCUCCUUGGUGUGCACCUCUGGCAUGAGCCACCAGCGGCAGAGCUCCCGAAGCCGGCUCAAUGCUUCCUGCGGCCCAGACAUCUCGUGGUAACACAAUUGCCUGAAGUGUAGCCGGAAGAUUUCGCAGACAGGAGGAUAGUUCUUCUGGAGACUGCUGCCCUGCCCCCAGGUCUGGUUUGCUGGCUCCUGCUUCACAGUCAGGCGCCCCUCUUGCUUCUGGAAAGCAGUGCUCCUGGGGAUGAGGCCUAAAUUUCCCCUGCCUGCAGUGGUCAUUGUGACCCCAAAGAGAAGCUUGUUACAGCUGCAGUUGGUCCGAUUAAAAUGAUGGUCAAUAGU
Homo sapiens (human) is the source of this 908-nucleotide long non-coding RNA. Ensembl annotates it as ZKSCAN7 ZNF cluster antisense RNA 1. Its record names the gene ZKSCAN7-AS1. The record is from Ensembl. NCBI's taxonomy places the organism in Eukaryota, Metazoa, Chordata, Mammalia, Primates, Hominidae.